RNAcentral lists this long non-coding RNA (2770 nucleotides) under Callithrix jacchus (white-tufted-ear marmoset). Its description in RNAcentral is "lncRNA (ENSCJAG00000077702.1)". The record is from RNAcentral. Lineage: Eukaryota; Metazoa; Chordata; Mammalia; Primates; Cebidae.
UGGAAAUAAAAUAACAGUAUAAGCUAUCCUAUUUAAAAUACACAUUCCAUGUAGGAUGUGAAAUAAUGUCCCCAAAUUCCUCAGCAAAAAUGCCUAAAAUGUUAUGCACACUAAAUCGCCAUUCAACUAUGAAGGAUAUAUGUAUAUAUAAUUAAAGGAAUGAAAUUUCCACAGACUCUUUUUAAAGAAAACUGUUCCUCAGCCAAAAAGGAGAAAGCAGUGAUGAAAGGACUGUUAGCCAUCAUUGAAUUCAUGUCCUGAAGGGGAGAGAUGGAAACAAAUAAAUGAAUUAUUCUUAUUGAACACGAUUUAAAUGCCUUCUAUGAUGACAAUGUAAAAAUAAUAUAACUAAUAAAGAAAGUGAGAGAAAGGAGGAAUUAGGAGAGGUGUGGUAUAUGAGUAGAGUUCCUCCAUUCUUUAUAGCCAGGGAUUAAACAAUAUGAUUUACAAUUGAUACAUCAAAUAGCCAAGCUAUAAAUAUGCUUGGAGAUACAAAGUAAAUACUGGAACAACAAAGAAUAAUACAAAAUUGAAUAGUGAAAAAGUGAGAAAAGAUGUGGGAAGAAGUGGAAGUAUGCAAAUUUUAUCAUUGUUCACAGUUAAAAACCAAUAAAUAUGCCAAACUAUUCCUGGGCACCCUCAUUCUGCUCCAACUUCCUAGCUACAGUAAAAAUCAAAUCCAAGUUUGCUCCUGCCAGCCAGUCAGACCAGCUUGAACUUGCCUUACUCUCCCAGAAAGUCCAGUUGUAUUCUUCAUUGUCCAUCUUUAUUAAUGAGGACUUAGAAUGAAUACUAUUGACAGAUGGACCUCUACCCAAAGAAGUCUACAGAUUCAAUGCAAUCUCUCUAAAAAUAGCAAUGACAUUCUUCACAUACACACAAACAUCUUAAAAUUUGUAUGGAACCACAAAAGACUCCAAAGAGCCAAAACAAUCCUGAACAAAAAAGAACAAAGUGGAAGGCAUCAAUUAUAUUACCAGACUUCAAAAUAUACCACAAAGCUAGAGAAGCUAAAACAGUAUGAUCCUAGCAUAAAAAGCAGACACAUGGACCACUGAGAGAAACUAGAGAUGCUAGAAAUUAAUCUACAUAUCUGCAAUCAACUGAUAUUUGAGAAGGCACAAAGAAUACUAAUUGGAGAAAGGAAGUCUCUUCAGCAAAUGAUGGUGGGUAAACUGGAUAUCCAUAUCAGAAGAAUGAAGCUAGACCUCCACCUCCCAUACUAUGCAAAAAUCAACUCAAAAUGGAUUAAAUAGCUAAGUUUAAGAUUUGAAACCAUAACACUACUAUAAGAAAACAUAGAGGAAACAUUUCUGGACAUUGGUCUGAGGAAACUUUUAUGAAUAACACCUCAAAAGCACAGGCAAUGAAAGCAAAAAUAAACAGUUGGGACUCUCAUCAAACUACACACCUUCUGCACAGCAAAGAAAACAACAGAGUAAUAGGGGACCUAAAGAAUGAAAGAAAAUGAGACUUCUGCUAAGAUAUCCAAUAGGAACAGCUCCAGAGUGCAGUUCCCAGUUAGAGUGAUGCAGAAGGUGAGUGAUCUCUGCAUUUCCAAUCAAGAUACCAGGUUCAUCUCAAUGGGACUGGUUGGACAGUGGGUGUAGCAGGGAGGGCAAACCGAGGCAGGGUGGGGUGGUGCCAUACCCAGGAAGUACAAGAGACGCGAGAAUUCCCCCUCCUACACAAGGAGGCUAUCGGGGGCUUUCCCAGGCACUACGGCACUCCAGCUCAGAUGCUACACUUUUCCCACAAUCUUUACAGCCCAGAGACCAGGAGAUUUCUGCUAGUGCCACCAGUGUGGUAGGUUUCCAGCACAAAACCAGGUGGCUGUUGUAGGUUUCCAGCACAAAACCAGGUGGCUGUUUUAGCCAGCACUGUGGUCUAGCACAAAACUGAGUGGCCCAUUUAGCUGGUGCCUGGAAUACCUGCGUGACAGAACCGCUCUUUCCCCUGAAAAAAAAAGGGGGAACUGAGGCAGGGAACCAAGUGAUCUGGCUCGGCAAGUCCCAUCCCCACAAAGGCCAGCAAACUGAGUCACACUGGCUUGAUAUUUUUGCAGCCAGCACAGCAGUUUGAGCUUGACCUGGGAUGGUCAAGCUCAGAGGGAGAGGGGCAUCUGCUAUUAGUGAGGCAGUUCUAACCUUGCUUGUGUAAACAAAAGUGCAAGGAAGUUACACAGCAGCUGGAUGGAGCCUACAGCAGCUCAGCAAGGCCUUUGCAGGCAGACUGUGACUAGACUCCCUCCUUGCUGGGCAGGGCAUCUCUGAAAAAAGGCAGCAGCCCAUCAGGGACUUAUACGUCAAGCCCCACCUUUCCAGGUCAGAGUACCUGGGAAAAAGGGUCAUUGUGAGUCCCACUUCAGCAGACUUAAACAUCCCUGCUCAGCAGCUCUGAAGGGAGCAACGGAGCUCUCAGCACAGCAAUUGAGCUCUGAAAAGGGACAGACUGCCACCUCAAAUGGUUCCCUGAUCCCUGUAUAUCCUAAAAGACAGCCCAUACAGAAGAGCUGUGGUUGACAUCUGGCAGGUACCCUUCUGGUACGAAGCUACCAGAGGAAGGAGCAGGCAGCAAUCCUUGCUUUUCUGCAGCCCCUGUGUGUAAUUCCCAGGCACACAGGGUCUGAAGUAGACCUCCAGUAGUCCUGCAGCAGAGGGGCCUGACUGUUAGAAGGAAACAUAAAACACAAAAAGAAACAGCUUCAACAUCAGCAGAAAGGAUGUCCACUAAGAGACCCCAUUCAAAAGUCACCAAUUUCAAAGACAAA